This 211-nucleotide ribosomal RNA is filed under the name uncultured Rubrobacteria bacterium. RNAcentral's name for it is "partial 16S ribosomal RNA". It matches the Rfam family "Bacterial small subunit ribosomal RNA", at positions 1174 to 1382 of the family's 1533-position model. The record is from RNAcentral. Lineage: Bacteria; Bacillati; Actinomycetota; Rubrobacteria.
UGGGGAUGACGUCAGGUCAUCAUGCCCUUUAUGUCCAGGGCUACACACGUGCUACAAUGGCCGGUACAACGGGCUGCGAUACCGCGAGGUGGAGCGAAUCCCUUAAAGCCGGUCUCAGUUCGGAUUGGAGUCUGUAACUCGACUCCAUGAAGGCGGAAUUGCUAGUAAUCGCGAAUCAGCAACGUCGCGGUGAAUACGUUCCCGGGUCCUU